RNAcentral lists this long non-coding RNA (695 nucleotides) under Solanum tuberosum (potato). Its description in RNAcentral is "long non-coding RNA (STUB_LNC002218)". Lineage: Eukaryota; Viridiplantae; Streptophyta; Magnoliopsida; Solanales; Solanaceae. The record is from RNAcentral.
AAACAGCUACCCAAAACUCCAAAUCAGUCAUUGACGAACACCGAAUCAAACCCCUUUACCUUACCCCUUUUCGAUUUUCUUACUUUUAGUUUUUAUUGCAGGUGUUUCGGCGAGCUCAAAGCUUCAACCGUGGAUCUAAUGAUGUUUCAAUGAGCUUCGUUUUUAGAUCCAUGACGUUUGACUAAGUUUUGUGCUUCCAAAUCUAAACAACCAACAAAUAAGGCAAGUGGGCGUCUUAAUAUGCACAUACAAAUAUAUGAAUACACAAAUGAAAAGAAAUCAAUUUUAACUAUAAAAAAAAAAAAGGCAAGUAGGUGUAUUAUAUGCAUGCCUACAGGCUACAAGUAUAUUUGGGGGUUUUAUGGUUGAAGGCUUUGCUUGUAUUUUGCUGAAAAUUUGAAGGUGAAAGUGGAAAGAUUAGGAGAACAAAGUCUCGAAUUCUUAGAAUCAUUGUGAAAUUUCAAUUAAUUUUUUUUCUAGGUAUAAUGAUGAAAUUGAGUGAAAAAUUGUAGAAAUGUGAUAAGAAAAAUGAAAUUAAGUGACAAAUUGAAAAAUUGUGCAAAGAAAAAUAUGAAGAAGAAAAAUUCUGAAGGAAAAUAAGAGAAGAGGAACAUGAAAAAGGAGAAAACAGGGUUUGGGGGUUAAAAAAAGUUACUUUUUUUAUUUUAUUUUCAACUUUUAUUUUUAUUUUAAAU